This 511-nucleotide ribosomal RNA is filed under the name uncultured Archaeosporales. RNAcentral describes it as "SSU rRNA". It matches the Rfam family "Eukaryotic small subunit ribosomal RNA", at positions 588 to 1105 of the family's 1831-position model. The record is from RNAcentral. Lineage: Eukaryota; Fungi; Glomeromycota; Glomeromycetes; Archaeosporales.
GCUCCAUAGCGUAUAUUAAAGUUGUUGCAGUUAAAAAGCUCGUAGUUGAAUUUUAGGCCUGGCCGGAUGGUCCGUCUUUGGCGAGUACUGUUCUGUCGUCGGGUCUAUCCUUCUGGUGAGCCGGGAUGCCCUUUAUUGGGUGUGUCGGGGAACCAGGACCAUUACCUUGAAAAAAUUAGAGUGUUUAAAGCGGGCAUUUGCUUGAAUAGAUUAGCAUGGAAUAAUAGAAUAGGACGUUGGUUCUAUUUUGUUGGUUUUAGGACCACCGUAAUGAUUAAUAGGGAUAGUUGGGGGCAUUAGUAUUCAAUUGUCAGAGGUGAAAUUCUUGGAUUUAUUGAAGACUAACUAUUGCGAAAGCAUUUGCCAAGGAUGUUUUCAUUAAUCAAGAACGAAAGUUAGGGGAUCGAAGACGAUCAGAUACCGUCGUAGUCUUAACCAUAAACUAUGCCGACUAGGAAUCGGGGCGACGUUAUUUCAUGACUCGCUCGGCGCCUUAUGGGAAACCAAAGUG